This 778-nucleotide ribosomal RNA is filed under the name Bubalus bubalis bubalis. RNAcentral describes it as "bacterial SSU rRNA". It matches the Rfam family "Bacterial small subunit ribosomal RNA", at positions 8 to 800 of the family's 1533-position model. Lineage: Eukaryota; Metazoa; Chordata; Mammalia; Artiodactyla; Bovidae. The record is from RNAcentral.
AGAGUUUGAUCCUGGCUCAGGACGAACGCUGGCGGCGUGCUUAAUACAUGCAAGUCGAACGGAGUUAAGGGUUUCGGCCUUUAACUUAGUGGCGAACGGGUGAGUAACGCGUGAAUAACCUGACUCAAAGAGGGGGAUAACAACGGGAAACUGUUGCUAAUACCGCAUGAGACCACAACACCGCAUGAUGAAGGGGUCAAAGAUUUAUCGCUUUGAGAGGGGUUCGCGUCCCAUUAGGUAGUUGGAGGGGUAACGGCCCACCAAGCCAACGAUGGGUAGCCGAGCUGAGAGGCUGAUCGGCCACACUGGAACUGAGACACGGUCCAGACUCCUACGGGAGGCAGCAGUAGGGAAUAUUGGGCAAUGGGCGCAAGCCUGACCCAGCAACGCCGCGUGAGGGAAGAAGGUUUUCGGAUUGUAAACCUCUGUCCUAUGUGACGAAGGAAGUGACGGUAGCAUAGGAGGAAGCCCCGGCUAACUACGUGCCAGCAGCCGCGGUAAUACGUAGGGGGCGAGCGUUGUCCGGAAUUACUGGGCGUAAAGGGUGCGUAGGCGGUUUGGUAAGUUGGAUGUGAAAUACCCGGGCUUAACUUGGGGGCUGCAUCCAAUACUGUCGGACUUGAGUGCAGGAGAGGAAAGCGGAAUUCCUAGUGUAGCGGUGAAAUGCGUAGAUAUUAGGAGGAACACCGGUGGCGAAGGCGGCUUUCUGGACUGUAACUGACGCUGAGGCACGAAAGCGUGGGGAGCAAACAGGAUUAGAUACCCUGGUAGUCCACGC